This is a non-coding RNA of Rhopilema esculentum, 5463 nucleotides long. NCBI's taxonomy places the organism in Eukaryota, Metazoa, Cnidaria, Scyphozoa, Rhizostomeae, Rhizostomatidae. The record is from RefSeq and is a predicted model, not a curated record.
GUGGGAUUUCAGUGAUGGAAGUGGUUGAUACUCCGGUCUUAGAAGGGGCUUCAUAGUGCUUCGUCUGAGAGACGAGAUAUUUCCAGUCAGGUGACCUAAGAGUGCCAGUGCAUCCACUGACUGGGAGACAUAUUUGUUAAUUUCCUCGCGUUGUGAGGAAGAAGCCUCUACAAGGAGAAAAUCUGUCGUUUGCAACAUUAUGUAGGCAACUUUCCGUAAAACUUGUUGCAUGUUAGCUAACCUUAGAUCUUCCUGUUUCUUAUAAUAUUUAAGAUGUUCCCAUGCACCUUUGUUGACCUUAAUAGGGUGCAGUGCAGUGCAGUUGGCUGGUCUUUUGUAUUUGUCAAGAAUAAUUUUCAAUUUUUCAGGGGUUAACGUCUUUCCCCAACGCUUGUUAAUUAUCUCGGCCAAUUUAUCAUUUACAUUAGCGCCGAGAUCGUCAGAAGUUUCAAGUGCUUUGGCUAAACCAUCAAGAAAUUCAGAUGUGUCUGGGUCUGCUUAAAUUGAUGGCCCGGUUGGCUCACUUUGUUUUUUGGCCUUAGUUUUUGCUAAUAGAUCGUGGGCAUCGCCCAGAAGUGAAUCAGUAUCGUCAUCUUCAUGAAUGCUAAGGCUUUCAUCAAUGUUAUUAUCAUUGGUAACAUUACGCUUUUCUGGUGGCUCGGAUUCAUCAGGGUCUGAUAAAUUUCGUUUGGGUUUACUCCGGUGGACGAUGAAGCAACAAGCCCAGUGGGCAAAGUCCGGUGGACAAGAGGUUCAUUCCGGUGGAAAUGUGACGGGCUGGCCGGUGGCCAAUUGCCAAACUCCCCCGAUGACACUUGAUGGAGAAGAGCCGCCAUGUUACCCAUAUUUGUAUUUAUUUCUAACAAAUUUUUGUUUAAUGAGGGGUCAAUGGAAGGCGAGGUUUCUAAUGGAGGUUCCUGCCGUUCCGCUCCAUCCUCAGACACAGUUUUGUCCUCUGAAUCUGACAUUUCUGGAGAAAUAUGGAGAAAUUUAAAAUUUUGUUUUUCCCAAUUAACUAUGAACAAGACUAAAUUGAUAAUGUUUGAGCCGAGUUAAAUCAACUAGAAAUUGAAAAUUUGUACACUUACCAAUCUAUCGCGACUUGGAAGCUUGUAAAACACGUCGUGAUGACUCGCAGCGAAGUCCGCAAUGACUUGUAGCGCAUGCGCCCGCAUCUCAUGGGAUUCCAUAGUGACGUAGCUGAUUAUAGAGAAGAAUUCACACUGCUUGAAUGUUAAAAGCUAUUUAUCUACGUAAUCAACAAAUUAGAACUCACCAUAACAAAUACAUGGCAAUAUAUUUGCAUAUCGGCAGGAAUGUCUAUGAAACUUACGUGGAAAAACGCUUCAUUUUACCAAAACAAAAUGCAGCUCUUCUAUCUCGUAAAAUCGUAGUAGCAUCAGCAUCUUAACCAAUGUAAUCCGCUUUAAAGUGAAUAUGAAACGAAUUUUUUUAUUGAAGUUUCUUACAUAUGUAGACACGCUAAAUCCAUAUUUUUUGGUUUCAGUGUCAAAUUCGUAAUAAGUUUUCUGUAAUUUGCGGUUAAAGUUGCGAAAUUUCAUCAAAAUUAUGGCGGGGCGAAAACGCGGUCGAGUCACGUGCUUUGUAGGCUUGUGACGUCAAGUGUUGGACUCGAAGUAAACACCUUCCAAAACUUUCUAUGCGGUUUAUCAUUUUGCUGGCAAGUUUUUCUUUUUUUUGCUAUUGUGAAAUCUCAAGCAAGGGAGUAUUGUCAACCUUUACGAAAAGGGUGUUAAGAGAAUUGAAUGCACAACAAAUAAGCCUUGGGAAACGCAAUUUUAGAUGACUUUGCGAGUUUAUGACUUCACAAAAGAAUUGAGAAACAUGCAAAUCAGACCAUUCAAAACAUGUGAAAAUUUUAUUAGUGGUAAUUGUGCAAGACUCUGGGACAAUAUCAAUAAAAGAGUUAACUGGCUAGAGAAUUUCAGUCAACAUCAAAUCCAUUCUAACGUUGCGGUUAGACUAGGCGAGCAUUCGAAUCGGAAUAAGCAACCUUCAGCUUAGGCCCGUUUCCGAAAGCCGGUCAGCAAAUCGUUUGUGCUCGAAGUUUGAUUUUACGAGUAUCCAUUCUUAAAUGGAGAAUGAAGCAAGAUCUGCAAAGACUUAUCGACGCGGAGGUCAGUAUUGUGUUGCAGGACUACCAAACGGGAAACCAUGCACCAGUAGUAGUGGUACUGUCGGUAUUUCAAUACAUCGUUUUCCAAAGAACCCGGAAGUAAGGAGCAAAUGGACUGCGUUUGUUCGACGGUACCGUGUAAAUUUUGAUCCAGAAACGUACAGCAAAGGACCUUUUCUGUGCUCUUUACAUUUCAAUCCUACCUGCUUUUCGAAAGCGUUAGUAUCCAAUUUAGGGGACUUUGAUGCAGAACACACGAAGCGUUUUCUUCUCCGAGAAGCUGUGCCAACGCUGCACAAUCCUCCACAAGAAGAGACAUCUUAUUCAAGCAGAGAAAAACGCCGGCUGGUAAAAGAAGCAAUGCAAGCUACACUUCAAUUUAAUGACGACAAGGCCAGUUCCACAAAUGAAGCCUCUCCCAUUCUGACAACAGAACCUGAUCAUGAGGAAAGUAUAUUUGAUGUAGAAGCAUGUCCCCUCCAUCUCUCAUGUGCUCCAAUGACUGGUUGUCCUACUUGUUGUGAUGCUGUUGGAGAAACAUUAGGCUUGCCAAAUUCAAGAAACAAGUCUGUUGAAGCCAAACUGCCCUGCAGUAGGUGCAAAUUUUACAUGCAGGAAAAAGACAGCAUGAAAAAAAGGAAAAGAGGCUGAAUUGCAAAAUCGAGAAGCUGAAAGAUGAAAUAGUCUUUCUGAAAACCUGCUUGGUAAGCAUUUCUGUUGAUAUCUAAAACACUGAUGUGGCAAUUUAAAUGUCUUAUUUCCUUUCCUUACUCAAAAGGCCAGAAUCCUUCCAGUAUAUGUACUUUGUAUAAAAACUGCCUCUUUUCAUCAAGUCCUGAUAACCAGAUGUGAUUCUUCAUUCUUACUUUUAAACAUCCUGUAUGGUGCAGAUAACUAAACAAAGUAAAUGUGACAAUUUAUUUAUGUUGAUAGGCAAAAAAAACUUCACCAAACAAUGAAGCUGAAGCACCAGAGGCAAAAAAAGAUCAAUUUGCAGCUGGGAUAGACAGUGGUGACGAGAGUGAUGUUUUUUCAGAUGGUGAUGAAGAUGACAUCUUUGAUUUGAAUAUGACAAGUGAAAGUGAUUUGGAAAAGGAUGAUGAUGAGGAUGACGUUGACAAUGGGCACUUGUUUGAUGCAACUCCAAGAAGCUACAUUAGGGUUGAUCCAGCAACUCCCAAAGAAGAAGAGCCAAAGUUUAUUGUUUUUUACAGUAUGCUCAUGAAUCUCUUGUCAAUGUUCUGUUUUAAAUGCAAAGAUAAUUCCCCAACUGUAAAUUUGUUGAAGAAUGGAACAAUGAUAACUGCCAUUCAGAGCUGUAACAGAUGUGGAAAAGAUUCCUUUGUCUGGAGAUCUCAGCCUUUUUAUUUUUGGAAGGUACCCGGCUGGAAAUGUGCUUCUCAGCUUUGGGAUAUUAGCAGCUGGUGCAUCAGUCAGGAAAGUAUUGCUUGUUUGCAGGCACCUUGGACUCAUGACCUACCAGGCACGAACUUUCUUUUUGCACCAGAGAAACUUUAUUUUCCCUAGCAUCAUACGGCAUUGGCAACUCUACUGCUCUACAACAUUGAAUCAAGUUUUGCAGCUGUCAGAUCGCAUUAUUGUUUGUGGUGAUGGGCGGUUUGAUUCAAUGGGCCAUUCUGCGAAAUAUGGCAGCUAUACUUUCUUUUGCGAAAAUAUCAUGAAGAUAGUUCACUUUGAGCUUGUGCAGGUGAGACAUAGAAGCUUAUAAGGACAGAUAUACAUAUGUGCACAUUUUAUGCAAUUCUACCCAAAAGAUGAUUUUAAAUGAAAAUUUUGGAAUUAACCAUACAUUUAAUAAGGUCUUCAUUUUUUGGUCUAAUUGUUUCUUUGUUCCAUGAGUGUAAGGAGGUACCAAUUUCUCAAAAAUAAGGAGGUACCAAUUUCAGUUUUUGUUUCUGAUCGCCACACUGGUAUUGCAAAAUGGAUACGGGAUUCAGAGAAGCAAUUAAAACAUUAUUUUGACAUCUGGCAUGUUGCAAGAACAAUUACAAAAAAAUUAUUGAAGGCAGGUAAAGAGAAGGAUUGUGAGCGAAUCAGUGAAUGGGCAUCUUCCAUUCGAAAUCAUUUAUACUGGUGUGUAACAUCAACAAAGGAGGGUUUCCAUGAGCUAAUUGAAGCAAAAUGGAAGUCAGUUAUUCGCCAUAUUGCAAAUGAGCAUGAGAAUCAUCCAGACCCCUUAUACAAAAACUGUAAACAUGAAAAACUAAGGAAGAGGCAUUGGAUCAAAAAUGAUAAGUCAUAUAAACCAACAAUUGUAUAUCCUAAUUUCUGUUAUAGGUCAGUCAUGACAAUUUACACUUAUAAAUUGGUCUUACCUAAAUUCUGAUUGUCAUAUCUUUUAAAAAAUGAAAGAAUACUUAAAAUACAAUAAAAUAUAUCUUACAACCUUAUUGACUAGUGCAGUCAUUUUAGAUUUUAACAAAAGAUGCAUCUUCAUUACAAGGUACUGUCACCCACAACAAACUCAAGGCAAUAUUGUUGGACAAAAGACUUUUAAAUGGUAUUCGGCAAUUAUCUCCCAUGGUGCAAACAAGUUGUCUUGAGGGAUACCAUUCAACAUUGAAUCAGUGGCAUCCAAAAAUGCUACACUUUCAAUGGAUUGGGACUUUCUGCAGGCAUAUUCUGACAAUUUGUCAUUUUAAUGAAAAUUUGAAAAGGGACAUUCAGAAGAAAGCUGAUGGUACUGAAGUCAUGCGGAUAUCUUGACCCAAAUUCAAACUAGGGGAAGAAUCAGUCCGUAAAGUCCCAGUUGCUCCAACUUAUGAGUAUGUUGAUACAAUCAGAAAGCUGAUGUUUACAAUCCAAAAAGCUGAAUGCAAUGAAAUAAUGAAACAAUAUGAAAGGAUUGCCCCACAGUUUAAAGACCUAUUGCCGAAAUUAGAGGCUGUUCAGAAAUAUUUAGAGAGGACUCAAAGUACAACUUCAAUGUAUCCAACAGGUAAACAACUAUUUUGAAUGAUUUUAUUUUCAUAGAUCAAAAAAUUUUUACCUUUUUUUUUAAAUUAGUCUGUGAGUAGCAAGUGUAAUUAUCCAUCAAGUUGACAAAACAAUUUGGUUAUAUGAUGUUCUUUUUUUCCAUAGAGAGGGAGCAAAGUGGCCAACAAGAACUACUUUUACACCAGGAACAGUCAACAGCAAAUCGUAAAAGAAAAGCCCCAAAAUGUAAAGUCUGCAAUCAGCCAAAAAAAGGACACCCAAAGAAAAAAUGCCAAAAAUGAACCUUGAAUUCUAUAUUAAUUUAUUUUAAGUAAUUUACUGUCUUUCUGCUGAGUCUUUGUAACCUUUGUUUUGGCCAACUUGGUACA